UGGUAAGAAGAAGAGUAGUACUCUGGGGAAGUCAUCUAGGAAGAAGGAGGACUCUGAUGACGAUGGUUCAGAUUCUGGGAGGAAGAAGAGAGGAAGGUCGAAGAAAAGGAGGAUUAAGAAGAGGGGAAGUAGCGAUUCAGAGGAUGGGGAUGAGGAUAGGAGGAAGAGGAGGAAGGAGAAAAGGAGGAAGAAGAACGAGUCAUCAGAUGAAGAGGAUGAUCGGCAACGCCGUAAGAGGAAGAGUAGGAAGGAAAAGAGGAGAAGGAGAAGUCAUCGGCAUUCUGAUGAUUCUGACUCAGAUGAGCAU
RNAcentral lists this long non-coding RNA (307 nucleotides) under Populus trichocarpa (black cottonwood). Its description in RNAcentral is "long non-coding RNA (PTRI_LNC000144)". The record is from RNAcentral. Lineage: Eukaryota; Viridiplantae; Streptophyta; Magnoliopsida; Malpighiales; Salicaceae.